AAGAGCACGACAUUGCUCACAUUGCUUCCAGUAUUUUUCAGCCCGCCUUGCGCGGGCUUUUUUUU
Molecule: small RNA, 65 nt
Organism: Erwinia mallotivora
Lineage: Bacteria; Pseudomonadati; Pseudomonadota; Gammaproteobacteria; Enterobacterales; Erwiniaceae
Source: Rfam